Molecule: transfer RNA, 57 nt
Filed under: Cermatobius longicornis
Lineage: Eukaryota; Metazoa; Arthropoda; Chilopoda; Lithobiomorpha; Henicopidae
Description: tRNA-Ser
Source: RNAcentral
AGAUAAUUAUGUAAAAGCCGCUAACUUUUUAAAAACGAGUAAAACCGUUAUUAUCUU